GUGUCUCUGCACCUAUGGUAUAAGACACCAUAGCGCAAAUGCAUCAGUACUUUGAAUGUACUGGUAUGCAUGUGAGAUAGGCUGAAUACAUGGGGUUCAUAUGCAUGAACAAUAUUAAUACAACAACAACAAACCCAGUGUAUUCCCACUUAGUGGGGUCUGGGGGGGGUAAGAUGUACGCAGUCCAUACCUCUACCUCUGAUGAAGUAGAAAGGCUGUUUCCGAAAGACCCCCGGCUCAAGGCACAAGAUAUCACACAAACACAUAGUAAAGCACAGAAGCAGAUGACAUAACAUAAAUGCGGCACCCAUAAGGAAUAUAAAACAGAGGAAAGCAGAGGAAAGCACACAGAUUCGUAAUAAGCAUGGAACACUGAAUACGGAAUCAUAACGGGA
RNAcentral lists this long non-coding RNA (395 nucleotides) under Capsicum annuum. RNAcentral describes it as "long non-coding RNA (CANN_LNC003504)". The record is from RNAcentral. Lineage: Eukaryota; Viridiplantae; Streptophyta; Magnoliopsida; Solanales; Solanaceae.